RNAcentral lists this ribosomal RNA (343 nucleotides) under uncultured prokaryote. Its description in RNAcentral is "partial 16S ribosomal RNA". The record is from RNAcentral.
CCCUAUGGGGUGCACCAGGUAAUUCGCCGAAGCGAUUUCUUCUUCCGUUGGAUGAAGAUUUCUCAGGAAAAUAUUGUUAAAAAGAAGAUGGUUGGUGUAUGCAAUAAUGAAGUUUUACUUUUGCUCCGGAUGGAUGUUGUAUUCUUUGGAUCGCAGAAUAUAGGGAUCCUCGCCACCUUCCAGGUGGUCUAUGACCGCUUUCUUAACUUCCGGACGGGCAAUCGCGCCAGAAGCGACAAUGCGUCCAGAUGUAGCUCCAGCCUUCAAAACAAUAAAUUGAUCGGAGUCGGAAGCUACAGCUACGCUGGAAUUAUGUGUCGUGAGGAUGAAUUGGCGGGAGGUC